This 484-nucleotide ribosomal RNA is filed under the name uncultured bacterium. Its description in RNAcentral is "partial 16S ribosomal RNA". It matches the Rfam family "Bacterial small subunit ribosomal RNA", at positions 30 to 507 of the family's 1533-position model. The record is from RNAcentral.
AUUGAACGCUGGCGGCAGGCCUAACACAUGCAAGUCGAGCGGAUGAAGGGAGCUUGCUCCUGGAUUCAGCGGCGGACGGGUGAGUAAUGCCUAGGAAUCUUCCUGGUAGUGGGGGAUAACGUCCGGAAACGGGCGCUAAUACCGCAUACGUCCUGAGGGAGAAAGUGGGGGAUCUUCGGACCUCACGCUAUCAGAUGGGCCUAGGUCGGAUUAGCUAGUUGGUGGGGUAAAGGCCUACCAAGGCGACGAUCCGUAACUGGUCUGAGAGGAUGAUCAGUCACACUGGAACUGAGACACGGUCCAGACUCCUACGGGAGGCAGCAGUGGGGAAUAUUGGACAAUGGGCGAAAGCCUGAUCCAGCCAUGCCGCGUGUGUGAAGAAGGUCUUCGGAUUGUAAAGCACUUUAAGUUGGGAGGAAGGGCAGUAAGUUAAUACCUUGCUGUUUUGACGUUACCAACAGAAUAAGCACCGGCUAACUUCGUG